GGAUCAGCACGCCGCGGUGAAUACGUUCCCGGGCCUUGUACACACCGCCCGUCACACCACGAGAGUUUGUAACACCCGAAGUCGGUGAGGUAACCUUUUGGAACCAGCCGCCUAAGGUGGGAUAGAUGAUUGGGGUGAAGUCGUAACAAGGUAGCCGUAUCGGAAGGUGCGGCUGGAUCACCUCCUUU
RNAcentral lists this ribosomal RNA (188 nucleotides) under Enterococcus faecalis. Its description in RNAcentral is "partial 16S ribosomal RNA". It matches the Rfam family "Bacterial small subunit ribosomal RNA", at positions 1346 to 1533 of the family's 1533-position model. The record is from RNAcentral. Lineage: Bacteria; Bacillati; Bacillota; Bacilli; Lactobacillales; Enterococcaceae.